RNAcentral lists this unclassified non-coding RNA (408 nucleotides) under Gardenia volkensii. RNAcentral's name for it is "partial external transcribed spacer". Lineage: Eukaryota; Viridiplantae; Streptophyta; Magnoliopsida; Gentianales; Rubiaceae. The record is from RNAcentral.
UCCCCGCCGGAGCGGCGACGUCCUCCCGUGCAGUCCUCUUCAGUCGUCGGCGCAAGAGCAGAGCCUUGGCCGCCCGCGGGUUUCCUGUGCUGCGUACCUACACGAAGGAAUUCGGCCGUCGCAAAGCCCCACGUUCUCUCGGAGCCGCCCCUCCCUCGGGGGUGUGCGGUGCGAGACGGACCCCGAAGGCGACCUCGUGUCCCGGCCACAGCCUCGGCUGCGUCCCGGCCCACGAGCUGCCGCCUGAGCUCUCGGAUGCAGAACACCAGGAGGGCAGGAGGCGCACGGCCUCCGUUUGCCCGAACCCGGCGUGAAUCGCCCGCAUCGAACGACCGCCGUCGUCGUCUCGGGAAGUCGUCGCGGCCCUCGGGCCCUUUGUCUAACCCCGUGCGGCGCCGGCGUCGGUUA